Molecule: ribosomal RNA, 805 nt
Filed under: uncultured bacterium
Lineage: Bacteria
Description: bacterial SSU rRNA
Rfam family: Bacterial small subunit ribosomal RNA
Source: RNAcentral
UAGAACGCUGAAAUAAGAGCUUGCUCUUAUGGAUGAGUUGCGAACGGGUGAGUAACACGUGGGGAACCUACCUUCUAGCGGGGGAUAACACAUAGAAAUGUGUGCUAAUACCGCAUAAUAGUAUUUGAUGCAUAUCAGAUACUUGAAAGGCGCAAUUGCGUCACUAGAAGAUGGCCCCGCGGUGCAUUAGCUAGUUGGUGAGGUAACGGCUCACCAAGGCAAUGAUGCAUAGCCGACCUGAGAGGGUGAUCGGCCACACUGGGACUGAGACACGGCCCAGACUCCUACGGGAGGCAGCAGUAGGGAAUCUUCGGCAAUGGACGCAAGUCUGACCGAGCAACGCCGCGUGAGUGAAGAAGGUUUUCGGAUCGUAAAACUCUGUUGUAAGAGAAGAACGUUGAUGAGAGUGGAAAGUUCAUCAAGUGACGGUAUCUUACCAGAAAGCCACGGCUAACUACGUGCCAGCAGCCACGGUAAUACGUAGGUGGCGAGCGUUGUCCGGAUUUAUUGGGCGUAAAGCGAGCGCAGGCGGUUGAUUAAGUCUGAUGUGAAAGCCCCCGGCUCAGCCGGGGAGGGUCAUUGGAAACUGGUCAACUUGAGUGCAGAAGAGGAGAGUGGAAUUCCAUGUGUAGCGGUGAAAUGCGUAGAUAUAUGGAGGAACACCAGUGGCGAAGGCGGCUCUCUGGUCUGUAACUGACGCUGAGGCUCGAAAGCGUGGGGAGCGAACAGGAUUAGAUACCCUGGUAGUCCACGCCGUAAACGAUGAGUGCUAAGUGUUGGAGGGUUUCCGCCCUUCAGUGCUGCA